GAUGAAGAACGUAGCGAAAUGCGAUAAGUAAUGUGAAUUGCAGAAUUCAGUGAAUCAUCGAACCUUUGAACGCACAUUGCGCCCGCCAGUAUUCUGGCGGGCAUGCCUGUUCGAGCGUCAUUACAACCCUCAGGCCCCCGGGCCUGGCGUUGGGGAUCGGCGGAGCCCCCCGUGGGCACACGCCGUCCCCCAAAUGCAGUGGCGGUCCCGCCGCAGCUUCCAUCGCGUAGUAGCUAACACCUCGCGACUGGAGAGCGGCGCGGCCACGCCGUAAAACACCCAACUCUUCUGAAGUUGACCUCGAAUCAGGUAGGAAUACCCGCUGAACUUAAGCAUAUCAAUAAGCGGAGGA
Molecule: unclassified non-coding RNA, 352 nt
Filed under: soil metagenome
Description: partial contains 5.8S ribosomal RNA, internal transcribed spacer 2, and large subunit ribosomal RNA
Rfam family: 5.8S ribosomal RNA (bases 1-120)
Source: RNAcentral